AGAGAGAGACAUGCGCGCAUAUCAAUAAGCGGAGGAAAAGAAACUAACAAGGAUUCCCCUAGUAACGGCGAGUGAAGCGGGAAGAGCUCAAAUUUGAAAUCUUAAAGGGUUUCCCUUUACGAAUUGUAGUUUAAAGAAGUGUUUUCUGUUGAGGUUUUGGUAAAAGUUCUUUGGAAUAGGACAUCAUAGAGGGUGAGAAUCCCGUAUUUGACCUUUACUUUCAACUUUGUGAUACACUUUCAAAGAGUCGGAUUGUUUGGGAAUGCAGUCCAAAAUGGGUGGUAAAUUUCAUCUAAAGCUAAAUAUUGGCGAGAGACCGAUAGCGGAACAAGUACCGUGAGGGAAAGAUGAAAAGAACUUUGAAAAGAGAGUUAAACAGUACGUGAAAUUGUCAAAAGGGAAGCGUUUGACACCAGUGUUGUUUUUCUGAAAAUCAAUUAAAGAACUGUUUAUGCUAAGUUGUUUAGACUUUAUCAGCUAACUGUUUAGUUUUGAGCUUUUCUUUAAUGCACUUUUCAGUUAACAAGUCAACAUCAAUUUCUUUUGCUGUAAAAAAGCUUGAGGAAGGUGGCUUGAGAUUCGUCUUAAGUGUUUAUAGCCUCUUGCCUAUGCAGUCGGAGAGAUUGAGGUCUGCAGCGUAGAUCCUUCGGGGCUAAAUGCAUUUGUGCUAAGUUAUAGCAUUUUAUAGACAACUUGUUGACUAUGAUUUGUCUUGUAGCUUACUCGCUUAUGUUAUUUUACCUACGCUUAGGAUGUUGAGCGCAUGUCUCUCUCU
This 775-nucleotide ribosomal RNA is filed under the name uncultured Neocallimastigales. RNAcentral describes it as "partial large subunit ribosomal RNA". It matches the Rfam family "Eukaryotic large subunit ribosomal RNA", at positions 23 to 616 of the family's 3401-position model. The record is from RNAcentral. Lineage: Eukaryota; Fungi; Neocallimastigomycota; Neocallimastigomycetes; Neocallimastigales.